RNAcentral lists this ribosomal RNA (406 nucleotides) under uncultured bacterium. Its description in RNAcentral is "partial 16S ribosomal RNA". It matches the Rfam family "Bacterial small subunit ribosomal RNA", at positions 30 to 526 of the family's 1533-position model. The record is from RNAcentral.
AUUGAACGCUAGCGGCAGGCCUAACACAUGCAAGUCGAACGAGUGGCGGACGGGUGAGUAAUAUAUGGGAAAGUGCCCAAUAGCGGGGGAUAACUACUGGAAAGGGUAGCUAAUACCGCAUACCAUCGGAGCGGCCGAGAUGGGAUUAGCUAGUGGGUGGGGUAACGGCUCACCAAGGCAACGAUCCGUAGCUGGUCUGAGAGGAAGACCAGCCACACUGGGACUGAGACACGGCCCAGACUCCUACGGGAGGCAGCAGUGGGGAAUAUUGGACAAUGGGCGCAACCCUGAUCCAGCCAUCCCGCGUGUAUGAUGAAGGCCUUCGGGUUGUAAAGUACUUUCGGCAGGGAAGCGGUAUCCGCAGAAUAAGCACCGGCUAACUACGUGCCAGCAGCCGCGGUAAUUC